UACGGAGGGAGCUAGCGUUAUUCGGAAUUACUGGGCGUAAAGCGCACGUAGGCGGCUUUGUAAGUAAGAGGUGAAAGCCCAGAGCUCAACUCUGGAAUUGCCUUUUAGACUGCAUCGCUUGAAUCAUGGAGAGGUCAGUGGAAUUCCGAGUGUAGAGGUGAAAUUCGUAGAUAUUCGGAAGAACACCAGUGGCGAAGGCGACUCACUGGACACGUAUUGACGCUGAGGUGCGAAAGCGUGGGUAGCAAACAGG
Molecule: ribosomal RNA, 253 nt
Filed under: uncultured bacterium
Lineage: Bacteria
Description: partial 16S ribosomal RNA
Rfam family: Bacterial small subunit ribosomal RNA
Source: RNAcentral